GACGUAGGAGGCGAGCGUUGUCCGGAGUUACUGGGCGUAAAGCGCGCGCAGGCGGCCCUGUGCGCUGCCGGUGAAAGCUCCCGGCUUACCUGGGAGAGGUUCGGCAGGACGGCAGGGCUGGAGGGUGGGAGAGGUCGGUGGAAUUCCCGGUGUAGUGGUGAAAUGCGUAGAGAUCGGGAGGAACAUCAGUGGCGAAGGCGGCCGCCUGGACCAGCACUGACACUGAGGCACGAAAGCGUGGGGAGCAAACAGG
This 253-nucleotide ribosomal RNA is filed under the name uncultured bacterium. RNAcentral describes it as "partial 16S ribosomal RNA". It matches the Rfam family "Bacterial small subunit ribosomal RNA", at positions 524 to 776 of the family's 1533-position model. The record is from RNAcentral.